AAGUGAUUAAGGUAUGCCUGAGUUCUAUUCAUUCAUUUUUUUUACCCAAAAAAAAACUCAGGGAUUUGUGUUUUCUUUGUGUGAAUCCUGUUUGAGAAGUUCCGGUUAAGAGAUUCAUGAUCUCUUUUAUAUAUAGCAAGGUUUUCAAACUUAGUUUAGUCAUUGAACCAGUGAAGGCAAAAGGUUAAUGGUUCAAAGUUCAAUUAGGGUCGAAUUGAAGUUUAACCGGUAUAUUGUGAAAUAAAUAUUAUA
Molecule: unclassified non-coding RNA, 252 nt
Filed under: Hevea brasiliensis (rubber tree)
Lineage: Eukaryota; Viridiplantae; Streptophyta; Magnoliopsida; Malpighiales; Euphorbiaceae
Source: RNAcentral